Molecule: non-coding RNA, 256 nt
Organism: Momordica charantia (bitter melon)
Lineage: Eukaryota; Viridiplantae; Streptophyta; Magnoliopsida; Cucurbitales; Cucurbitaceae
Source: RefSeq, a predicted model, not a curated record
GUUCAAAUUAAUCAGGUCUUCUGCUUCUUAUCUUCUUUCUAUUGUUUUUAUUCUUAUUUAUUUGUUAUAUAAUGUUAUCGUAUAUAAUAAUGUCACGUAUUCCUUCUCACCAAUUGUAGCAAAUGUUCUAUGCAUGAUGUCUUGGCUUCAGUACUCAUCUGGCUAGUACUCAGCUCACAUGAAAUGACAUUAAGUGUAUGGUUAAAAUGAGCUGAAUGAUGUGGAGCAGCGACGUGAUCAGAAAGCGUUUUUUUUU